This 220-nucleotide unclassified non-coding RNA is filed under the name rhizosphere metagenome. RNAcentral's name for it is "partial ribosomal RNA internal transcribed spacer region". RNAcentral also lists the same sequence under 1 other name. The record is from RNAcentral.
GUAGGUGAACCUGCGGAAGGAUCAUUAGUGAAUUGAAUAUGUUAGCGGACCUCUUCGGAGUCCCUAGCAUCAAAUCAUAUCCAUAACACCUGUGAACUGUAAGGCUGUCUUGAAAACGAAAGUGAUUAGAGCGCCUGCCCAUUUUAUACAAACAUUAAAGUAACAAACGUAGUCUUAUUAUAAUCUAAUAAAACUUUCAACAACGGAUCUCUUGGCUCUC